This 71-nucleotide transfer RNA is filed under the name Loxodonta africana (African savanna elephant). It matches the Rfam family "tRNA". From Rfam's summary of the family: Transfer RNA (tRNA) molecules are approximately 80 nucleotides in length. Their secondary structure includes four short double-helical elements and three loops (D, anti-codon, and T loops). The record is from Rfam by way of RNAcentral. Lineage: Eukaryota; Metazoa; Chordata; Mammalia; Proboscidea; Elephantidae.
GCCCUGGUGGCACAAGGUUAAGCACUCAGCUGUUAACUGAGAGACUGGAGGUUUGAAUCCACCCAGAGGCU